UUUCACGUUUCAACGUUUUAG
RNAcentral lists this non-coding RNA (21 nucleotides) under Caenorhabditis elegans. Lineage: Eukaryota; Metazoa; Nematoda; Chromadorea; Rhabditida; Rhabditidae. The record is from RNAcentral.